RNAcentral lists this ribosomal RNA (506 nucleotides) under uncultured bacterium. Its description in RNAcentral is "partial 16S ribosomal RNA". It matches the Rfam family "Bacterial small subunit ribosomal RNA", at positions 29 to 523 of the family's 1533-position model. The record is from RNAcentral.
AGUGUACGCUGGCGGUAGGCCUAACACAUGCAAGUCGAACGGCAGCACAGAGGAGCUUGCUCCUUGGGUGGCGAGUGGCGGACGGGUGAGGAAUACAUCGGAAUCUACUCUGUCGUGGGGGAUAACGUAGGGAAACUUACGCUAAUACCGCAUACGACCUACGGGUGAAAGCAGGGGAUCUUCGGACCUUGCGCGAUUGAAUGAGCCGAUGUCGGAUUAGCUAGUUGGCGGGGUAAAGGCCCACCAAGGGGACGAUCCGUAGCUGGUCUGAGAGGGUGAUCAGCCCCACUGGAACUGGGAAACGGUCCCGACUCCUACGGGAGGCAGCAGUGGGGAAUAUUGGACAAUGGGCGCAAGCCUGAUCCAGCCAUACCGCGUGGGUGAAGAAGGCCUUCGGGUUGUAAAGCCCUUUUGUUGGGAAAGAAAUCCAUCUGGUUAGUACCCGGGUGGGAUGACGGUACCCAAAGAAUAAGCACCGGCUAACUUCGUGCCAGCCGCCGCCGUAA